GACGAACGCUGGCGGCGUGCUUAACACAUGCAAGUCGAACGAUGAACCCGGAGCUUGCCCUGGGGGAUUAGUGGCGAACGGGUGAGUAACACGUGAGUAACCUGCCCUGGACUCUGGGAUAAGCGUUGGAAACGACGUCUAAUACCGGAUAGGACCUUGGAUCGCAUGAGCUGGGGUGGAAAGUUUGGUCGGUCUGGGAUGGACUCGCGGCCUACCAGCUUGUUGGUGAGGUAAUGGCUCACCAAGGCGUCGACGGGUAGCCGGCCUGCGAGGGUGCCCGGCCACGCUCGGACUGAGUCCCGGCCCCGCCUCUUACGGAGGGCAGCCGUGGGGAGUAUUGCUCAAUGAGCGAAGGCGUGUGGCAGCAGCGCCGCUUGCGAGAUGACGGCCUUCGGGUUGUAAACCGCUUGUAGUAGGGAAGAAGGGCUUCGGCUUGACGGUACCUGCAGAAAAAGGACCGGCUAACUACGUG
This 472-nucleotide ribosomal RNA is filed under the name uncultured bacterium. RNAcentral's name for it is "partial 16S ribosomal RNA". It matches the Rfam family "Bacterial small subunit ribosomal RNA", at positions 28 to 507 of the family's 1533-position model. The record is from RNAcentral.